RNAcentral lists this long non-coding RNA (1161 nucleotides) under Triticum aestivum (bread wheat). RNAcentral's name for it is "long non-coding RNA (TAES_LNC000889)". The record is from RNAcentral. Lineage: Eukaryota; Viridiplantae; Streptophyta; Magnoliopsida; Poales; Poaceae.
UCGCUUAUUUAUGCUCAAGUGGUUAUACCCAUAUUAUGUAAAGAUUUCUUCUCUUUCAUACCUUUAUUGCAUAUCAAAGUGCUGCUUUCAGGUGCUAGAUUAAUUUGGUCCUUGCUUAGCCAUAUAAUCAAAUGCCAGAUAGGUCGCAUGGUUGAUUAGAAAAAGAUCAUUUGAGGGUCCAUGCGUAUUGUGGUUGUAGUUCUGCGAAUCAAAAAUGUUAUUCUUGGUUGCUAGAUUAAUUUGGUUAUCCAGUCGGCUCCCAAUUUCCAGUUUCUAAUUAUAUGAGGAAAUGGUGUUUUAAUGUUAAUUACUUUGUUCGGUACUUCUGUUUUCUAAUUCUUUGCUUGAUGUGUUUUCAAUUGGGAGCUCUCCACUCGAAAGAUACCUCAACGCCCAGCCACCUCUUCACCACCACACGCCAGUCAGCGCACGAGGCAGCGGAACUGGGUUUGUCUUCGUCCAGGGAAGUGAAGGUCUACCCCUUCUCUCUCUCCUUUCUCUGUUCUUAUUUGUUUGUAGGCCCGGGCUUGUAGAUUUUUUGUCUUCUCUAUCUGGAGAUGCUGUUGGACUAAGACUAUAUUCCAAAUACAGGGGCCUUUUGUGCUCUCUGGUUCGGCUAGAUUCCAAGUAUUAGGAUUUUUUGGGCUCUAUGGUCUGAUGUUGUUAGUUUCGGCUUAUUGUAGCUUCAGAAAUGAUCAAUUUUGGACGUAUUGAAUUGGAAUUUUCUCUCUGUUGGGCCCAUCGGUGGAGUUCGCCUUGGGGCCUUUGAAAUCCUAGAGCCGGCCCUAGGUUUAGUAUGUCAUUUUGCCUGAGCGUUUUCCUGAGUAUGAGCGGCUGAUCCUUAGAGCCAUUUGCUACUGAGUGUGAUCAUAAGAUUAAAUAAUGGUCUCUUACACAGCAAUUUGCUUUCUUACACUGUUUGUUACUUAGUUAGUCUUUAUUAUAUCAUAACUCACGGCUUCUCUACCUCUUUUUUGUAAAGAAGAAUUAAAUCAAUCCUAAUCCUGCACCACAAAUAUUUGUUUUAGCACCACAAUUAUCGUAUGGAACUGAUAUUUGUUUAAAAGUUAUUGUGCUCUCUGUCUCUUCUUCUACUUGAUUUGUGCUACAUUUUGUGCCGCCAGUAAAACUUUCUUUGCUAUUUCAUUAGGCUCAGUUAGU